This 254-nucleotide ribosomal RNA is filed under the name uncultured bacterium. RNAcentral's name for it is "partial 16S ribosomal RNA". It matches the Rfam family "Bacterial small subunit ribosomal RNA", at positions 524 to 776 of the family's 1533-position model. The record is from RNAcentral.
UACGUAGGGUGCAGGCGUUAAUCGGAAUUACUGGGCGUAAAGCGCGCGCAGGCGGUCUUUUAAGUCAGAUGUGAAACCCCCAGGCUCAACCUGGGGACGCCACUCGAUACUGCUGUGACUAGAGUCCGGUAGGGGAGCGUGGAAUUCCUGGUGUAGCGGUGAAAUGCGCAGAUAUCAGGAGGAACACCAGCGGCGAAGGCGGCGCUCUGGGCCGGUACUGACACUGAGGAGCGAAAGCGUGGGUAGCAAACAGG